AGCUCCAUAGCGUAUAUUAAAGUUGUUGCAGUUAAAAAGCUCGUAGUUGAAUUUCGGGAUCAAUAUUUCGGUCAUGCCGUUGGUAUGCACUGUUAUCAUUGAUUUCUCACCUUCUAAAGAACCGUAAUGCCAUUAAUUUGGUGUUACGGGGAAUUAGGACUGUUACCUUGAAAAAAUUAGAGUGUUUAAAGCAGGCUCACGCUUGAAUAC
Molecule: ribosomal RNA, 210 nt
Filed under: uncultured fungus
Lineage: Eukaryota; Fungi
Description: partial small subunit ribosomal RNA
Rfam family: Eukaryotic small subunit ribosomal RNA
Source: RNAcentral